Long non-coding RNA from Hordeum vulgare subsp. vulgare (domesticated barley), 1207 nucleotides. RefSeq lists it as uncharacterized. The record is from RefSeq and is a predicted model, not a curated record. NCBI's taxonomy places the organism in Eukaryota, Viridiplantae, Streptophyta, Magnoliopsida, Poales, Poaceae. The transcript is spliced from 2 exons.
GUUGGUAAUCCUGAAACCGGCCUGCAUAGCCCAUUGAAGUGGGCAACGCCGUCGUUCCCCUAGCGACCACGCCACAUAUUUGACGGGCGGUGCUAAGGAUCUUUGCAUCGCCAUGCGUAUUCCCCUUGCAACUGACCCCCAUCACCUUCAGGCAACCAAACAAUACACAUACUGCUGAUUCAAGCGAUGCAAUCAUAACUACCCUAGUGGCAUUUGGUGCCACAUCAUCCACCCAAGGUGUGUAGAUUAUUGUAGGUAAAUUUCUUUUUAUCCAUUUUUAGUUGUGCUUCGGGAUUGAAAAUAUAUGUAAUUUAAAAGGCAAUGUGCAACGCCAUGAUAUGCUCUCAUUCGUCAAGAUUUGCCAUUUAAGAAUUCUAACUUCUUGCUUCAUAACUAAGACCGGGGCAGUGCUCAGCAUCAUGGCUCACCCCCAUAUUUGGUUCUCUCAUCGGUUCUACAUCGCCACUGAAGAAGGCAUAUACUGAAAUCCAUGGCUCACCACCAGACACACCUAAGAAACUGUCACAAUAUUGUCGGCAAUAUAGAUGGAUCAACAUAGAUUGAUCAACGACUAACAAGUUGUUCUGAGUUGAAUUUUCUUCUACCUUCGACUUCAGAGGAUGCACUCAAGUUCACAUGUGAGGAACAUAGAGCUUGGGAUUUUGGAACCAUGACAUGGAUGAGGAAAUAUGUAGCUUUUGAGUGUUUUUUUUGCAUGUUGUGGAUGAGCACAAUGAACAGUACGUCUACAAUCAAACUUGGGUAAACAUGACGACACGAAGUAGACUGACUAGGAGGAGUUGUUGUGGAGCAUCGACCGUUACAAAGCCAGUCAUGUCAACAUACCCAUACGAUGUCUUUGGAAUUUUAUCUGCUGCCAGAAGACCAUACGAUGUCCUUGGAAUUUUAUCUGCUGCCAGAAGACCAUACGGAAUGGUCUUCUCUUGGUUGAUUGGCUAUUUCUUGACUUCCAAAGACCAAACACUUGAGGAGGACGUGGUAAAAGUCUCAAUAAUAUAUUUUGUUUUGUUUGUUUCAUUCAAGAGUUAAGAAUAAACGAAUGAAUUUGGGAAGCAACAUUCAGGAACACUACGGGAAGCACAUAAAUACUCCAACUAUAUCCUAACUAGGUAGGAUAUAUGGAAAGCAACAUUCAGGAAUACAAGCAUUGAAAGAAAUCUUCAAUAUAUGCCAUCUCAAAUUCAUA